RNAcentral lists this ribosomal RNA (1277 nucleotides) under human gut metagenome. RNAcentral describes it as "bacterial LSU rRNA". It matches the Rfam family "Bacterial large subunit ribosomal RNA", at positions 1131 to 2495 of the family's 2925-position model. The record is from RNAcentral.
UGCGUAAUAGCUCACUGGUCGAGUGACUCUGCGCCGAAAAUUUAACGGGGCUAAACUAUACACCGAAGCUUGGGAUACAUCUAAUGUAUGGUAGGAGAGCGUUCUGUAUGGGGAGAAGUCGUAGCGAAAGCGGCGGUGGACUAUACAGAAGUGAGAAUGCCGGAAUAAGUAGCGAGAAUUAAGUGAGAAUCUUAAUGGCCGAAAGUCUAAGGUUUUUGGAGGAAGGUUCGUCCGCUCCAAGUAAGUCGGGAGCUAAGGUCAGGCCGAAAGGCGUAGCCGAUGCACAUACGGUUGAUAUUCCGUAACCAUCUGUAAUUUAAGCAAAGGGACACUUCAAAAGGGUGUGACCCGGGCGUUGGUUGACCCGGGCGUAAGGGACCGAAAUUAGAGUAGGGAAGCACACUUGGCUGAAGGCGAGAAAAGCUUUGCGUAUAGAAACAGAUGCCCGUACCGCAAACCGACACAGGUGGACAGGAAGAGAAUUCUAAGGCCAGCGGGAGAAGGGUAGUUAAGGAACUCGGCAAAUUGACUCCGUAACUUCGGAAUAAGGAGUGCUCGAAAGAGCCGCAGAGAAUAGGCCCAGGCGACUGUUUAGCAAAAACACAGGUCUCUGCCAAAUCGAAAGAUGAAGUAUAGGGGCUGACACCUGCCCGGUGCCGGAAGGUUAAGAGGAGGAGUGAGAGCUCCGAAUUGAAGCCCCGGUAAACGGCGGCCGUAACUAUAACGGUCCUAAGGUAGCGAAAUUCCUUGUCGGGUAAGUUCCGACCCGCACGAAUGGUGUAACGAUCUGGGCACUGUCUCAACUACCCACCCGGCGAAAUUGUAGUACCGGUGAAGAUGCCGGUUACCUGCGGCAAGACGGAAAGACCCCAUGGAGCUUUACUGUAGCCUGAUAUUGGGUUUCGGAAAUCUAUGUACAGGAUAGGCGGGAGACUAGGAAACAUGAGCGUCAGCUUGUGUGGAGUCGAUGUUGGGAUACCGCCCUUAGGUUUCUGGAAUUCUAACCUGCGGCCGUGAAUCCGGUCGGGGGACAUUGUCAGGUGGGCAGUUUGACUGGGGCGGUCGCCUCCGAAAAGGUAACGGAGGCGCUCAAAGGUUAGCUCAGCACGGACGGAAACCGUGCCUCUGAGUGUAAACGCAAAAGCUAGCCUAACUGCGAGGGUGACGGCCCGAGCAGUAACGAAAGUUGGAGUUAGUGAUCCGGCGGUAUGUGAAUGGAAAUGCCGUCGCUCAACGGAUAAAAGCUACCCUGGGGAUAACAGGCUGAUCUCCCCCAA